UACGUAGGGUGCAAGCGUUAAUCGGAAUUACUGGGCGUAAAGCGUGCGCAGGCGGUUUUGUAAGUCUGUCGUGAAAGCCCCGGGCUCAACCUGGGAAUUGCGAUGGAGACUGCAAGGCUUGAAUCUGGCAGAGGGGGGUGGAAUUCCACGUGUAGCAGUGAAAUGCGUAGAGAUGUGGAGGAACACCGAUGGCGAAGGCAGCCCCCUGGGUCAAGAUUGACGCUCAUGCACGAAAGCGUGGGGAGCAAACAGG
RNAcentral lists this ribosomal RNA (253 nucleotides) under uncultured bacterium. RNAcentral's name for it is "partial 16S ribosomal RNA". It matches the Rfam family "Bacterial small subunit ribosomal RNA", at positions 524 to 776 of the family's 1533-position model. The record is from RNAcentral.